RNAcentral lists this ribosomal RNA (517 nucleotides) under uncultured bacterium. RNAcentral's name for it is "bacterial SSU rRNA". It matches the Rfam family "Bacterial small subunit ribosomal RNA", at positions 62 to 552 of the family's 1533-position model. The record is from RNAcentral.
UCGAACGAGAAAUCUCGAGCUUGCUCGAGAGAGUAAAGUGGCGCACGGGUGAGUAACGCGUGGGUAACCUGUCCUUAAAUUUGGGAUAAUCCACCGAAAGGUGGCCUAAUACCAAAUACAGUCCUGAGAACUACGGUUUUUAGGAUGAAAGCUGACCUCUUCAUGAAAGUUGGCGUUUGAGGAGGGGCUCGCGUACCAUUAGCUUGUUGGUAGGGUAAUGGCUUACCAAGGCUACGAUGGUUAGCUGGUCUGAGAAGAUGAUCAGCCACACUGGAACUGAAACACGGUCCAGACUCCUACGGGAGGCAGCAGUGAGGAAUUUUGCGCAAUGGGGGAAACCCUGACGCAGCAACGCCGCGUGAGUGAAGAAGGCUUUCGGGUCGUAAAGCUCUGUCAAGUGGGAAAAAAUCCUUUCGAUUAAUAGUCGGAAGGGCUGAUGGUACCACUGGAGGAAGCACCGGCUAACUCCGUGCCAGCAGCCGCGGUAAUACGGAGGGUGCAAGCGUUGUUCGGAAUU